This 358-nucleotide unclassified non-coding RNA is filed under the name soil metagenome. RNAcentral's name for it is "partial contains 5.8S ribosomal RNA, internal transcribed spacer 2, and large subunit ribosomal RNA". The stretch from base 1 to 120 matches the Rfam family "5.8S ribosomal RNA", at positions 35 to 154 of the family's 154-position model. The record is from RNAcentral.
GAUGAAGAACGCAGUGAAAUGCGAUAAGUAAUGUGAAUUGCAGAAUUCAGUGAAUCAUCGAAUCUUUGAACGCACAUUGCGCCCGUCAGUAUUCUGGCGGGCAUGCCUGUUCGAGCGUCAUUACGCCCCUCAAGUCCCCUGUGGACUUGGUGUUGGGGAUCGGCGAGGCUGGUUUUCCAGCACAGCCGUCCCUUAAAUUAAUUGGCGGUCUCGCCGUGGCCCUCCUCUGCGCAGUAGUAAAACACUCGCAACAGGAGCCCNNNNCGGUCCACUGCCGUAAAACCCCCCAACUUUUUAUAGUUGACCUCGAAUCAGGUAGGACUACCCGCUGAACUUAAGCAUAUCAAUAAGCGGAGGA